Molecule: non-coding RNA, 153 nt
Filed under: human gut metagenome
Source: RNAcentral
UUCAAUGAUUCAUCUAAUUUCCCUUUUCCACAUAAAUGUACAAUUUGAUAAUGCUCUAAAAGUGUAUCUAGAGAUUCACGGACAAUUUUAUUUACAGCUGCAGCACCAAGACUUCCUCCGAUAACCAUGAUAACCGGUUUGCCUUUUGUAAAU